This 142-nucleotide ribosomal RNA is filed under the name uncultured Alphaproteobacteria bacterium. Its description in RNAcentral is "partial 16S ribosomal RNA". It matches the Rfam family "Bacterial small subunit ribosomal RNA", at positions 537 to 678 of the family's 1533-position model. Lineage: Bacteria; Pseudomonadati; Pseudomonadota; Alphaproteobacteria. The record is from RNAcentral.
AGCGUUGUUCGGAAUUACUGGGCGUAAAGCGCACGUAGGCGGAUUGGAAAGUUGGGGGUGAAAUCCCGGGGCUCAACCCCGGAACUGCCUCCAAAACUAUCAGUCUGGAGUUCGAGAGAGGUGAGUGGAAUUCCGAGUGUAG